UUAAGCUAAGAAGAGCGUAGGGAGAAUGCCUUGGCAUUAGGAGCCGAUGAAGGACGUGAUAAGCUGCGAUAAGCUGCGGGGAUCAGCAAGUAUGAAUUGAUCCGCAGAUUUCCGAAUGGAGCAAUCCGUAUGUGUAUGCACAUACAUCAUAUACUGAAUCAAAUAGGUAUAUGAGGGGAACCGCCUGAACUGAAACAUCUAAGUAGGGCGAGGAAGAGAAAUCAACCGAGAUUCUGUGAGUAGUGGCGAGCGAAAGCGGAAGAGGCUAAACCAUAGGUAGCAAUACUUAUGGGGUUUCGGACAGCAUUUAGUAUUGAUAAUUUCUAGUUGAAACGUGUGGGAAAACGUACCGAAGAGUGUGAGAGUCACGUAAGCGAAAGAGAAAGUCAGCGAGCUGUAUCCAAAGUACCGCGGGACACGUGAAACCCCGUGGGAAGAUGGGGGGACCAUCCUCCAAGCCUAAAUACUACCUAAUGACCGAUAGCGAAUAGUACUGUGAAGGAACGGUGAAAAGAACCCCGGGAGGGGAGUGAAAAAGAACCUGAAACCCUAUGCUUACAAGCACCGAGAGCACGUCAAAGUGUGAUCGGGUACCUUUUGUAGAAUGGUCCGGCGAGUUAUUGUAUGCGGCAAGGUUAAGUGCUUAAGGCACGGAGCCGAAGCGAGAGCAAGUCUGAAUAGGGCGAAAAAGUCGUAUGCAAUAGACCCGAAACCGAGUGACCUAUCCAUGUCCAGGCUGAAGUGGAGGUAAAACUCCAUGGAGGGCCGAACACACGUCCGUUGAAAAGGCCGGUGAUGAGGUGUGGAUAGCGGAGAAAUUCCAAUCGAACUCGGAUAUAGCUGGUUCUCUCCGAAAUAGCUUUAGGGCUAGCCUCGUGAAAGAUUACUGGAGGUAAAGCACUGAAUGGGCUAGGGGUCGAAAGAUUACUGAACCCUAUCAAACUAAGAAUGCCAGAUAAUUGAUUCACGGGAGUCAGACAAUGUGAGAUAAGUCUCAUUGUCAAAAGGGAAACAGCCCAGACCCACAGCUAAGGUCCCUAAACAUUGUUAAGUGGAAAAGGAUGUGGGGUUGCAUAAACAACCAGGAUGUUGGCUUAGAAGCAGCCACUCAUUAAAAGAGUGCGUAAUAGCUCACUGGUCGAGUGACCCUGCGCCGAAAAUUCAACGGGGCUAAACAAUGUACCGAAGCUUGGGAUUCUAAAGUAAUUUAGAGUGGUAGGAGAGCGUCGAAUAAGGGGUGAAGUCAGAGCGGAAGCGCUGGUGGACUUUAUUCGAGUGAGAAUGCCGGAAUGAGUAGCGAGAAUUAUGUGAGAAUCAUAAUGGCCGAAAAUCUAAGGUUUCCUGAGGAAGGUUCGUCCGCUCAGGGUAAGCCGGGGGCUAAGGCGAGGCGGAGACGCGUAGCCGAUGCACAUACGGUUGAAAUUCCGUAGCCACCGAAAGAUUUAAGUACAGGGACGCUUUAGAAGUGAUGUUGCCGGGCGAUGGUUGACCCGGUCGUAAGGGAUCGAAAAUGAGUAGAGAAGUCAUCAUGGAAAGAGACAAGAAAAGCUGUAUGAAUAUCUUAGGUGCCCGUACCGCAAACCGACACAGGUAGAUAGGAAGAAGAUUCUAAGGCCAACGGGAGAAGGGUUGUUAAGGAACUCGGCAAGUUGACCCCGUAACUUAGGGAUAAGGGGUGCUCAAGUGAUUGAGCCGCAGAGAAUAGGCCCAGGCGACUGUUUAGCAAAAACACAGGUCUCUGCUAAAUCGAAAGAUGACGUAUAGGGGCUGACACCUGCCCGGUGCCGGAAGGUUAAGAGGAGAUGUGAGAGCAUUGAAUUGAAGCCCCGGUAAACGGCGGCCGUAACUAUAACGGUCCUAAGGUAGCGAAAUUCCUUGUCAGGU
This 1884-nucleotide ribosomal RNA is filed under the name human gut metagenome. Its description in RNAcentral is "bacterial LSU rRNA". It matches the Rfam family "Bacterial large subunit ribosomal RNA", at positions 3 to 1977 of the family's 2925-position model. The record is from RNAcentral.